GACGAACGCUGGCGGCGUGCUUAACACAUGCAAGUCGAACGGUGAAGCGCCUUCCUUUUUGGUGGGUGUGGAUGAGUGGCGAACGGGUGAGUAACACGUGAGUAACCUGCCCCCUUCUUCUGGAUAACCGCAUGAAAGUGUGGCUAAUACGGGAUAUUCUGGGUCUGUCGCAUGAUGGGUCUGGGAAAGAUAUUGUUUCGGUGGGGGAUGGGCUCGCGGCCUAUCAGCUUGUUGGUGGGGUGAUGGCCUACCAAGGCGGGGACGGGUAGCCGGCCUGAGAGGGUGGACGGUCACACUGGGACUGAGACACGGCCCAGACUCCUACGGGAGGCAGCAGUGGGGAAUAUUCCACAAUGGGCGCAAGCCUGAUGCAGCGACGCCGCGUGAGGGAUGGAGGCCUGCGGGUUGUGAACCUCUUUCGCCAGUGAAGCAGGCCUGCCUCGUUUGUGGGUGGGUUGACGGUAGCUGGAUAAGAAGCGCCGGCUAACUACGUG
Molecule: ribosomal RNA, 494 nt
Filed under: uncultured bacterium
Lineage: Bacteria
Description: partial 16S ribosomal RNA
Rfam family: Bacterial small subunit ribosomal RNA
Source: RNAcentral